RNAcentral lists this ribosomal RNA (253 nucleotides) under uncultured bacterium. RNAcentral's name for it is "partial 16S ribosomal RNA". It matches the Rfam family "Bacterial small subunit ribosomal RNA", at positions 524 to 776 of the family's 1533-position model. The record is from RNAcentral.
UACAGAGGGUGCAAGCGUUGUUCGGAAUUAUUGGGCGUAAAGGGCGCGUAGGCGGUGCGGUAAGUCUGUAGUGAAAUCUCUGGGCUCAACUCAGAGUCUGCUGCAGAAACUGCCGUGCUUGAGUGUGGGAGAGGUGAGUGGAAUUCCCGGUGUAGCGGUGAAAUGCGUAGAUAUCAGGAGGAACACCUGUGGCGAAAGCGGCGCACUGGACCACAACUGACGCUGAGGCGCGAAAGCUAGGGGAGCAAACAGG